UAUCGGAAGAAAGAUGAUGGAAAAGAUAAAGGGAUCUGUUCCAAGCCUCAUUUUAUACUUUUAAAAAAGCAAGACCCAUGAAUUUGCUCAAGAAGCUGAUGUGUCCAACACAAAACCAAUUACAAACCAAAGGGAAGGCAGAGGAUGGUUCUAUCCGUUCAAAGUCUGCCUUAUGCUGCUUCUGGUGCUUACAAAUGGGAAAAGAGGUGUUGGAGGUGAAGAUAUUGGUAGCCCACUAAUCCCUGGGAACACAGCAAUGAAUUCUCUUCUAGUCAACAAAAAUCUGAGAGGCCAUAAACGAGAGAUGUUAGGCACAGAAGCUGCUGCAACGGAUGAUAGUAUCAACUACAAGGCUUUUCAACGUGGGAACUCUCCACCAAACAACCCAGUGGGCAAGCAAGCCAAUCCUCAUCAGAGACCUUGUAACCCUGGUGAAUAUUGUCGACAAGGUAAAAAAGAAAAGAAGAACUAGCCACACAAAGUGCUAUAUCUGAUAUAAAGGCAUCUUAAGGUCAUGUUUGAUGCAUAGGAUGGUAAUCAUCUUAUACUAUAUUUGAUUUGAAUCUAAAGAAAGGGAUACAAUUGUAAGGAGGAUUAAUCAUCCUCUUAGCAUUGGAUGAUUCAAUCUUUCCAAAAUAGAUACGUUUAUUUUUAAUCCAUAAAAUUAAACUUACAUGUCUUA
Non-coding RNA from Durio zibethinus, 682 nucleotides. The record is from RefSeq and is a predicted model, not a curated record. NCBI's taxonomy places the organism in Eukaryota, Viridiplantae, Streptophyta, Magnoliopsida, Malvales, Malvaceae.